GAACACAAAAUGGCGACACGUGGUUAGCAUUCGUCGCCAACGAGAAAUUGGGGUCGGCCCGAAAGCUCUAGAAUGCACCCCUCUUCCUCCCCGGGGCCUUCCACCUCCGCGAGUUUUAUGACUUAAAAAAGCCCACAGGCUGGUCUGAAGAGGAAGACAAACAUAAAGAUGAAGUGCUUAAUUCAAGGUCACACAAUGUCGGGGAUGGACCUCCAGAUUUCCUUACUGGUGAGACGUGGUCUUGUAACACAGUGGUUAAGAAUGUGACUUUGGAGCCAGCCUGCUAGGGGCUGAAUUCUGACUCAGCCAUUUACUAACUGUGUGACCUUAGUCUCACUGUUGCUCAGGCUGGAGUGCAAUGGCAUGAUCUCGGCUCAUCACAACCUCUGCUUCCUGGGUUCAAGCGAUUCUCCUGCCUCAGCCUCCCGAGUACCUGGGACUACAGGCACUCGCCACCAUGCCCGGCUGAUUUUUGUAUUUUUAAUAGAGAUGGUUUCACUAUGUUGGCCAGGCUGGUCUCGAACUCCUGACCUUGUGAUCUGCCCACCUCAGCCUCGAAAAGUGCUGGGAUUACAGGCGUGAGCCACUGCGCCCAGCCUUGUAUUUUUUUUCAGUUUGGGUAGCUGUCCCUAAUUCAUUUGUUAAAGGAGAAGCAAGAGCAAGAACCUUUAAUCUGUUCUCCUCUUCCCUAAUUUGAAAGUAGCUUGUUAUUUUGAAUAUCACUUUCUCUGAAAUAGCACAUCUCCAUCUCAGAGAAUGGAUUUAAUGUUUGGAUACAGCCAAAAGUCAUUUCAUUACCAAACCAUGGGGUGAAUAUACCAUGUAAAGCAGUUUGGGAUCAGAACUCACAGUCUGAAUUGUAAGUGAUGAGACUGCUGUCUCUCUGCUACAGCUUCUUGGCUGGCUCUGAAGGCUCUUUGAAGGCAGAUCCUAACAAGGGGACUGCUUUGAAGGGCCAUUGUUCAUUUGGAAUGAUAAAGUCUAUGUUGUUCAAAAAACAAAUGCUUGUAGCAGGUAUUUUUUCACUCCAGACUGAGAAUAUUGGUGGGAUAUUGAUAAGGGGUACUGAAUGGUAAUAAACAUGUGCUCUAGCUCUGUGCUAGUCAGCUUAUUUCAGAACUCUAGUUUGAUUCAGUUUCUUGCCUCUGACUCAAAAUGGAGGGAGAGUGAUUUUUACAUAAGAGAACACACCCACAUAUCCUUUUGGCAGCAGCUACCUGCCAGAGAUGUUGAAGAAGAGUAGCCAACCUUUACACAGCAGAUAUUGUGUGCCAGUCAUAGUCCUAAGUAUAAUACCUUACAUGUAUAAACUUCUUAUAAGGUUGGUGCUCUGUACCGAAUUGAAUAGUAUCCCCCAAAAUUCAUGUUGUCCCAGAACCUAUGAAAGUGAUCUUACUUGAGGGAGGGGGGAGGGGGGAGGGAUAGCAUUAGGAGAUAUACCUAAUGCUAAAUGACGAGUUAAUGGGUGUAGCACACCAGCAUGGCACAUGUAUACAUAUGUAACUAACCUGCACAUUGUGCACAUGU
RNAcentral lists this long non-coding RNA (1527 nucleotides) under Homo sapiens (human). Its description in RNAcentral is "PCBP1 antisense RNA 1". Lineage: Eukaryota; Metazoa; Chordata; Mammalia; Primates; Hominidae. The record is from RNAcentral.